GAAAUGCGAUAAGUAAUGUGAAUUGCAGAAUUCAGUGAAUCAUCGAAUCUUUGAACUCACAUUGCGCCCGCCAGUACUCUGGCGGGCAUGCCUGUUCGAGCGUCAUUACAUCCCUCAAGCCCCUGCGGCUUGGUGUUGGGCCUCGGCCGUCCUCAGCGGCGGCCGUGCCCCAAAUACAGUGGCGGUCUCGCCCCCGGCUCCUCUGCGUAGUAGUAACACCUCGCACUGGGACGGAGCGAAGGCCACGCCGUAAAACAACCCAACUUUCUGAAUGUUGACCUCGGAUCAGGUAGGAAUACCCGCUGAACUUAAGC
RNAcentral lists this unclassified non-coding RNA (314 nucleotides) under plant metagenome. RNAcentral describes it as "partial contains 5.8S ribosomal RNA, internal transcribed spacer 2, and large subunit ribosomal RNA". The stretch from base 1 to 105 matches the Rfam family "5.8S ribosomal RNA", at positions 50 to 154 of the family's 154-position model. The record is from RNAcentral.